UGCUCACCGUGCGAGGAGGCCCCAGUAGCUGGGGCUAUGUCAGCCAGGCCUUGCUUUUCCACCAGGUGCGUAAGUAUCUGCUCCGGCUGGACGUCCGGAAGGAUCACGUGAAGUUCUGGCGGCCCCAGCUGCUGCUCCUGGUGGGGAACCCCCGGGGUUCCCUGCCUCUGCUGCGGUUGGCCAACCAGCUUAAGAAGGGGGGGCUCUACGUGCUGGGCCACGUCACUCUGGGAGACCUCGACUCCCUACCCUCGGACCCUGUACAGCCGCAGUACGGGGCAUGGCUCAGCCUGGUGGACCGUGCCCAGGUGAAGGCUUUUGUGGAUCUAACCCUCUCACCCUCCGUGCGCCAGGGGGCUCAGCAUCUGCUGCGAAUCUCUGGCCUCGAGUCUGGGACGCUAUUACCCUGGGGAUUCAGGCCAUGAGCUUGGCUGAUCAGGGUGUCUGGUUUGCAUAACCGAGUCAAACUCGCAUCCCCUACCAUGAAAGAGAUGCCCCGCUAGAAGCUGGGAGUGGACAGCAUCCUACUCUCUAUAGAAUUGGAGUGCUCAUUAGUGGCAAGAAUCCUAAUGCGAACUUUGCCUGUUUAAGUGGAGGAGAUUAGUCACCGAGAUAAUAAAAUAAAUGCAUGUGAAAGUGUUUAGGAAAAAUGAAAA
Molecule: small RNA, 656 nt
Filed under: Pongo abelii (Sumatran orangutan)
Lineage: Eukaryota; Metazoa; Chordata; Mammalia; Primates; Hominidae
Description: processed transcript
Source: RNAcentral